UACGGAGGAUCCGAGCGUUAUCCGGAUUUAUUGGGUUUAAAGGGUGCGCAGGCGGGAGAUUAAGUCGGCGGUGAAAUUUUGCAGCUCAACUGUAAAAGUGCCUUCGAAACUGGUUUCCUUGAGUGUAGAUGAAGUAGGCGGAAUUUGCGGUGUAGCGGUGAAAUGCAUAGAUAUCACGAGGAACUCCGAUUGCGCAGGCAGCUUACUAAACUACUACUGACGCUCAGGCACGAAGGCGUGGGGAUCAAACAGGAUUAGAUACCCCCGUAGUCCCU
This 275-nucleotide ribosomal RNA is filed under the name uncultured prokaryote. RNAcentral's name for it is "partial 16S ribosomal RNA". It matches the Rfam family "Bacterial small subunit ribosomal RNA", at positions 524 to 798 of the family's 1533-position model. The record is from RNAcentral.